This 994-nucleotide long non-coding RNA is filed under the name Salmo salar (Atlantic salmon). RNAcentral's name for it is "lncRNA (ENSSSAG00000084601.1)". Lineage: Eukaryota; Metazoa; Chordata; Actinopteri; Salmoniformes; Salmonidae. The record is from RNAcentral.
AAAGACAGAGCAGCAACACAACAGAAACUACACAAAGAAAAGUGCAAUCAAGUUGGAGGGACAGUACCAUAGUAAAGAAGGGUGUCAGGACCAGGGUCAACGCGGAAGAAACUACUGAUGCACAUAAUGGGACAUAAAAAGCUUUAGGUCACAGGAGGGGUGAGAUUCUGGAGGAGACUGGAGUGGUUGAGCUAGAUGGGAGCACCAUGCAGGCAACAGAAGUGAUAGCAUCGAUUGGGAUGAUGAAAUUGGUGCUGACGAGAGUGGUGCUGAUGAGACCUGGAGUCCCUCAAAGAUUCUGAUGAAGAGGAGUCUGACGAGUUUGAAGAUUCUGGGGACAGCAGCUUGGAUGCUGCAGUAGUUUAUGUGUCGGGGGGCUAGGGUCAGUCUGUUACAUCUGGAGUAUUUCUCUUGUCUUAUCCGGUGUCCUGUGUGAAUUUAAAUAUGCUCUCUCUAAUUCUCUCUUUCUUUCUUUCUCUCGGAGGACCUGAGCCCUAGGACCAUGCCUCAGGACUACCUGGCAUGAUGACUCCUUGCUGUCCCCAGUCCACCUGGCCGUGCUGCUUCUCCAGUUUCAACUGUUCUGCCUACGGCUAUGGAACCCUGACCUGUUCACCGGACGUGCUUGUUGCACCCUCGACAACUACUAUGAUUAUUAUUAUUUGACCAUGCUGGUCAUUUAUGAACAUUUUAACAUCUUGACCAUGUUCUGUUAUAAUAUCCACCUGGCACAGCCAGAAGAGGACUGGCCACCCCUCAUAGCCUGGUUCCUCUCUAGGUUUCUUGCUAGGUUUUGGCCUUUCUAGGGAGUUUUUCCUAGGGAGUUUUUCCUAGCCACCGUGCUUCUUUCACAUGCAUUGCUUGCUGUUUGGGGUUUUAGGCUGGGUUUCUGUACAGCACUUUGAGAUAUCAGCUGAUGUACGAAGGGCUAUAUAAAUAAAUUUGAUUUGAUUUGGACGAAGAACACAUUCCUUCACUUUGUGUCCGGUAUGUU